GGCGAAGUAGCCAAGUGGUAAGGCAGGGCUCUGCAAAAGCCCCAUCGACAGUUCGAUUCUGUCCUUCGCCUCCA
This 74-nucleotide transfer RNA is filed under the name bacterium. RNAcentral describes it as "tRNA-Cys". It matches the Rfam family "tRNA". Rfam says of the family: Transfer RNA (tRNA) molecules are approximately 80 nucleotides in length. The record is from RNAcentral.